This 502-nucleotide ribosomal RNA is filed under the name uncultured bacterium. RNAcentral's name for it is "bacterial SSU rRNA". It matches the Rfam family "Bacterial small subunit ribosomal RNA", at positions 11 to 507 of the family's 1533-position model. The record is from RNAcentral.
GUUUGAUCCUGGCUCAGGACGAACGCUGGCGGCGUGCUUAACACAUGCAAGUCGAACGGUGACGAGGAGCUUGCUCCUCUGAUCAGUGGCGAACGGGUGAGUAACACGUGAGCAACCUACCCUUGACUCUGGGAUAACAGUUGGAAACAGCUGCUAAUACCGGAUACGACCCCGACAGGCAUCUGCCGGGGUGGAAAGCUCCGACGGUCAAGGAUGGGCUCGCGGCCUAUCAGCUUGUUGGUGAGGUAACGGCUCACCAAGGCGACGACGGGUAGCCGGCCUGAGAGGGCGACCGGCCACACUGGGACUGAGAUACGGCCCAGACUCCUACGGGAGGCAGCAGUGGGGAAUAUUGCACAAUGGGCGCAAGCCUGAUCCAGCCAUGCCGCGUGUGUGAAGAAGGCCCUCGGGUUGUAAAGCACUUUAAGCGAGGAGGAAGGUCAUCAUACUAAUACUAUGGUGAAUUGACGUUACUCGCAGAAUAAGCACGGCUAACUCUGUG